AUGUCGUCGGACGAAGAAGGUCCCGGGGAGUGCUCCUGGUGCGGCGACAACCGGGGUUUCUGCGACGGGCCUCACCUGGACGAAGGUCGGCGCUUCAGCAUUAAGCUCGAGGAGGCCUUCGAUUGUGAUAUGCUUAUCCCAUGCCAUGCAAGACCCUAUGUCUUGGAGAGGAUGGGUUUUGAAGAUCAUGAGAGGAAUGAAACAAAGAAAAUUAACCUAAGGACCCAUCAUGGUAUGGAUUUUGAGGUGAAUCUAUACAAUUCUAAGAGCGUAUCCCAUUUUGGUUGCCCGGGUGGGGAAGCACUUUGCAACAUGUAUGAUUUUCAAGAGGGUAUGUUUGUCACCAUGGAUCUUGGUGAUCCUGACAUCGACCAAGACAAUUUGGACAUUUGGGUCCUUGUUGAUACGCUUCCAAUUCUACGGCUAUCUUACUUUCAUUCUUCAAAGAAUGUGCGGAACAUGGUAGACAGAACCAACUACACCGAUGGAUUUGAGUUAACUUAUCAGGAGAAAAGUCAUCUGGUCGCAUAUUGUACUGAUCUUGAGAAUUACAAUGCCUUUUAUCGAACUCCUCCAAAUUAUGGUCAAUACGUGCCACUAGUGCACCUGUUGAACCAUGAUAACUUCCAUGGAGAUAUCCUGAGAAUCCCGAUGGAUUGUGUGCCUCAUUUGAUGUAUCAGAAUGGUCGCCUUGAUGUUUUGAACAUACAGCCAGGUCAUCCUACGAAUCUCACCUGUCCAUACCGGAUCUCUAAAACCGGUGAACACAUGGUAAUCUUAGAAUGGAAAAAAUGUAUGGACAGUUGUAAGGAGGUUCUUGGAAGCAACAUUGUGCGAAAGGCAAGAAUUGGAGACAGGGUAAUCUCCAUUCUCCAUAAUGGAGAGUCAGGGGCUAUCUUGUUUUAUGCUAUUUUACCAAAGAGAAUAUAG
Molecule: ribosomal RNA, 930 nt
Filed under: Triticum aestivum (bread wheat)
Lineage: Eukaryota; Viridiplantae; Streptophyta; Magnoliopsida; Poales; Poaceae
Description: partial small subunit ribosomal RNA
Source: RNAcentral